RNAcentral lists this ribosomal RNA (720 nucleotides) under uncultured bacterium. Its description in RNAcentral is "bacterial SSU rRNA". It matches the Rfam family "Bacterial small subunit ribosomal RNA", at positions 61 to 771 of the family's 1533-position model. The record is from RNAcentral.
GUCGACGGUAACAGGGAGAAGCUUGCUUCUUUGCUGACGAGUGGCGGACGGGUGAGUAAUGCUUGGGAAUCUGGCUUAUGGAGGGGGAUAACUACGGGAAACUGUAGCUAAUACCGCGUAAUAUCUUCGGAUUAAAGGGUGGGACUUUCGGGCCACCUGCCAUAAGAUGAGCCCAAGUGGGAUUAGGUAGUUGGUGGGGUAAAGGCCUACCAAGCCGACGAUCUCUAGCUGGUCUGAGAGGAUGACCAGCCACACUGGAACUGAGACACGGUCCAGACUCCUACGGGAGGCAGCAGUGGGGAAUAUUGCACAAUGGGGGGAACCCUGAUGCAGCCAUGCCGCGUGAAUGAAGAAGGCCUUCGGGUUGUAAAGUUCUUUCGGUGAUGAGGAAGGUGUUUGUUUUAAUAGAACAAGCAAUUGACGUUAGUCACAGAAGAAGCACCGGCUAACUCCGUGCCAGCAGCCGCGGUAAUACGGAGGGUGCGAGCGUUAAUCGGAAUGACUGGGCGUAAAGGGCACGCAGGCGGUGACUUAAGUGAGAUGUGAAAGCCCCGGGCUUAACCUGGGAAUUGCAUUUCAUACUGGGUCGCUAGAGUAUUUUAGGGAGGGGUAGAAUUCCACGUGUAGCGGUGAAAUGCGUAGAGAUGUGGAGGAAUACCGAAGGCGAAGGCAGCCCCUUGGGAAUAUACUGACGCUCAUGUGCGAAAGCGUGGGGAGCAA